Molecule: long non-coding RNA, 264 nt
Organism: Polypterus senegalus (gray bichir)
Lineage: Eukaryota; Metazoa; Chordata; Cladistia; Polypteriformes; Polypteridae
Exons: 2
Source: RefSeq, a predicted model, not a curated record
AGUAAAUAUUUACAAAAUAGUCUGUGACCUUCGAAUGCACAGACCACUGAUGGUGCAGUCUGAGAACCAGUAUAUAUUCCUGAAUGACUGCAUCAUGAAUGUCAUCCGAUCAAAACAAAAUUCAAAUCAGUUUUAUAAGAACAAUGCAGCAGAGGCAAUCUAUGAGAACAUUACACCAGCAAGAGUUUGAGCAACGAGCUACGAAUAUUUGUGAACAAGAGCCUGCCGUCAUUUGAUCUAAAUAAAAACAAAGUGAAAAUGGUA